UUCAGUAGAUACACCAGUGAUUGCAUUUCUAAGUGUAGCACGAGGAGAACGGCGUCUCGAGAUCGACAAUGUCGUUAACGAUCUACUUGUAACCAGUUACUACAUUCGCCGGACAACCUGUAGGAAGCAACGCAGCCUUGGGAACCUGAAUUUGGCGAAAACUACAAACAAAAUGACUGCGAUCGUGCCACGCAGCAGCAUGGCGAAUGCGCAUGUUUGGACAGGCAAACGCAGUAUUAGCCGGAUGUUGGCCAAGUUGAUGUUCGCCUAGAUGUUCGCCAAGUUGUUCGCUUAUUAAUUGAUCAGGUGCUGGUAUGUCUCGAUAGUGAAGGUCACUUAGGACGUUAAUGUCACGAAAUCACAUACGUACGCCUUUUCAGCUUUUUAUUGGCCCUACCACGAACGCCUUUUUCCAGUCCCAGGAACAAUAAAGCGCGGCGCUUCAUAUUGGACCCAGGUACUGCGUUACGGUAAUAUUGUGCGCAAUAUCCUGUAUUCGUUACAACACAGCCCUGCCACCCAAAGCGCUCAUCAAGUGAACUGCGCUAUCUGUGGAAUCGGCCCAGGAAAAAGGCUAGAAACAAACAUGCCCGAUACAGCGUAACUCACUGGAAUUUACUCGCCAAGAUAGAAAUUGUCAAAAAAAAAAAAAAUGUGGUGCUGUAUCGCGCCGGCAUUCGAACUAUGUACCUACAGAAUGAUGUCCACAUCAUUGUCAACAUUAUUCUAGCAGAUCGCUAGACCGAGAAAAAUAAUUCGCAAAAUAUUCCCUAAAUUUUGCUCUAAUGCCGCUAAAGUUGUCGCUAGAACUAUCAAGGGAACUUUACAGAAUGUAGGCUUUUUUAGAACACUGGAAUAAAGCUAACAUGACGCCCACUCAAACUUUUCAAAUUUUUCUCUUGUCCGUCCAGGUGAAGAAUGAACAGUGAAUUUUACA
Dermacentor silvarum is the source of this 937-nucleotide long non-coding RNA. RefSeq lists it as uncharacterized. The record is from RefSeq and is a predicted model, not a curated record. NCBI's taxonomy places the organism in Eukaryota, Metazoa, Arthropoda, Arachnida, Ixodida, Ixodidae. The transcript has 2 exons.